AUUGAACGCUGGCGGCAGGCCUAACACAUGCAAGUCGAACGGUAACAGGAAGAAGCUUGCUUCUUUGCUGACGAGUGGCGGACGGGUGAGUACUGUCUGCGAAACUGCCUGAUGGAGGGGGAUAACUACUGGAAACGGUAGCUAAUACCGCAUAACGUCGCAAGACCACAAAGGGGGACCUUCGGGCCUCUUGCCAUCGGAUCUGCCCAGAUGGGAGUAGCUAGUAGGUGGGGUAACGGCUCACCUAGGCGACGAUCCCUAGCUGGUCUGAGAGGAUGACCAGCCACACUGGAACAGAGACACGGGCCAGAGGCCUACGGGAGGCAGCAGUGGGAAUAUUGCACAAUGGGCGCAAGCCUGAUGCAGCCAUGCCGCGUGUAGGAAGAAGGCCUUCGGGUUGUAAAGUACUUUCAGCGGGGAGGAAGGGAGUAAAGUUAAUACCUUUGCUCAUUGACGUUACCCGCAGAAGAAGCACCGGCUAACUCCGUG
Molecule: ribosomal RNA, 489 nt
Filed under: uncultured bacterium
Lineage: Bacteria
Description: partial 16S ribosomal RNA
Rfam family: Bacterial small subunit ribosomal RNA
Source: RNAcentral